GGCGGUCUAGUGGUAUGAUUCUCGCUUUGGGUGCGAUAGGUCCCGGUUUCGAUCACCGGCUCGGCCC
Molecule: transfer RNA, 67 nt
Filed under: Ancylostoma duodenale
Lineage: Eukaryota; Metazoa; Nematoda; Chromadorea; Rhabditida; Ancylostomatidae
Description: tRNA-Pro
Source: RNAcentral